Molecule: ribosomal RNA, 475 nt
Filed under: uncultured Bacteroidota bacterium
Lineage: Bacteria; Pseudomonadati; Bacteroidota
Description: bacterial SSU rRNA
Rfam family: Bacterial small subunit ribosomal RNA
Source: RNAcentral
UAGAACCGGUGUCUGGAUUAUUGGGUUAAGGGUGCGCAGGCGCCCAGAUAAGUCAGUGGUGAAAGCCUACCGCUUAACGGUAGAAUUGCCAUUGAUACUGUUUGGCUUAAGUAUAGUAGAGGUUGGCGGAAUGUAUCAUGAAGCGGUGAAAUGCAUAGAUAUGAUACAGAACACCGAUUGCGAAGGCAGCUGACUAAGCUAUUACCGACGCUCAUGCACGAAAGCGUGGGGAUCAAACAGGAUUAGAUACCCUGGUAGCCGACGCCGUAAACGUUGAUAAGUCGAUGUUGGCGAUAUACUGUCAGCGUCUUAGCGAAAGCGUUAAGUUAUCCACCUGGGGAGUACGCUCACAAGAGUGAAACUCAAAGAAAUUGACGGGGGCCCGCACAAGCGGUGGAGCAUGUGGUUUAAUUCGAUGAUACGCGAGGAACCUUACCUGGACUUAAAUGGGAAUUGACGAAUGCAGAAAUGUAUU